Molecule: non-coding RNA, 46 nt
Organism: Callipepla squamata (scaled quail)
Lineage: Eukaryota; Metazoa; Chordata; Aves; Galliformes; Odontophoridae
Source: Rfam
CCAACGGCUCUUUUAAGAGCCACCCACCGCUGUCCGAAAAAGAGCU